GAUGAACGCUAGCGGCAGGCUUAAUACAUGCAAGUUGAGGGGCAGCAUGAUAUACGCGAGUAUAUUGAUGGCGACCGGCGGACGGGUGAGUAAUAGGUAGGAGACCUACCUCAUACAGGGGGAUAGCAUAGAGAAAUCUGUGGUAAUACCCCAUGAGGUUAUAUGAAUAGAGGCAUAUAAUCAAAGCAUAAGCGAUUAUGCGGUAUGAGAGGGGCCUACUGACCAUUAGCUAGUUGGUGAGGUAAGGGCUCACCAAGGCGAAGAUGGUUAGGGGUUUUGAGAGAGAGACCCCCCACAUUGGAACUGGGAGACGGUCCAGACUCCUACGGGAGGCAGCAGUAGGGAAUAUUGGGCAAUGGGCGAAAGCCUGACCCAGCCAUGCCGCGUGAAGGAAGACGGCCUUAUGGGUUGUAAACUUCUUUACUACGCGAAUAGAGGUUAGUACGAGAUACUAAUAGGAAGGUAGUGUAGUAAAAGCACCGGCUAACUCCGUGCC
Molecule: ribosomal RNA, 496 nt
Filed under: uncultured bacterium
Lineage: Bacteria
Description: bacterial SSU rRNA
Rfam family: Bacterial small subunit ribosomal RNA
Source: RNAcentral